UCCGGAGGGGGCAAGCGUUGUCCGGACUUACUGGGCGUAAAGGGUGCGUAGGCGGCCUGCUGCGUCGGUGCUGAAAGCGCCCGGCUUAACCGGGCGAGGCGUGCCGAUACGAGCGGGCUGGAGCCUUGGCGAGGGUGGCGGAACUCCUGGUGUAGUGGUGAAAUGCGUAGAGAUCAGGAAGAACACCCGUGGCGCAAGCGGCCACCUGGCCAAGAGCUGACGCUGAGGCACGAGAGCGUGGGGAGCGAACCGG
RNAcentral lists this ribosomal RNA (253 nucleotides) under uncultured bacterium. Its description in RNAcentral is "partial 16S ribosomal RNA". It matches the Rfam family "Bacterial small subunit ribosomal RNA", at positions 524 to 776 of the family's 1533-position model. The record is from RNAcentral.